Long non-coding RNA from Gossypium raimondii (Peruvian cotton), 1309 nucleotides. RefSeq lists it as uncharacterized. The transcript is spliced from 3 exons. NCBI's taxonomy places the organism in Eukaryota, Viridiplantae, Streptophyta, Magnoliopsida, Malvales, Malvaceae. The record is from RefSeq and is a predicted model, not a curated record.
UCACUCGUCAUAUAAGUUAAUUCACUUGUAAUUUUGUAAUUUAUACUCUUUUAUUUUUCAUUUAUUUUAGUAUUUUUCACUAUUAUGGAGUUUUGUUUUAUUCUUCUUGUAGCAUCUUAAAAGUUUUGGGCAUGCUUUGCUGACCACAACACUAAUUGCUGGAAUCAACUCUACCAUCAAAUUUACAAUUUCUAAGAGAACCCGGCCAGCUUAGGUCACCGAACCACCACAACGGCGUCGCCGUCCGCGGUGGUCGAAAAAUUAGUAGAAGCCUAUUUUUUGGCUUUUCGAUUCCUCGACUCAAAAAAGACGUCGAUUUUUAUCGGAAUCGGCGGACCUCCUUCCACGGUGGAGUAAAAACGCGAAUAAAGGUACAAAGCCGUUAGACAGUUGGCAUACGGAGCGGUGCGUGAGGGGGAGGUGGCGGCAGUUAGGGCGGCGGCGGCGGCUAAGGUUUUCCCUCCUUUUUUGUUGAUGAAAAUGUUUAGUUUUUGGGCUAUUGGGCCACUAUGGUUUUUGUUGCAUUUGGGCUGUAAUUGGGUAGUGUAAGUUUGGGCUUAUUAUUUGGUUUGUAAAUAUUUUGGACUUGGUCUCAUUUAUUUGUUUUGGUUUUAUUUAUUUGGUUUUAGGUCUAGGCCAAAAUUGACCUAUUACAGCAGGCCCUCUUUGCUCAUUGUCGUGUAACGAGAAUGGAGCAAAGGCUUUAAAGAGGUCAAUUUUGCCUAAUCUUGCCGAAUAUUGACUUUAUGGUGCUUCUUUCUUUUAAGUAGCCUCAUUCCCUUUCACCGCAUCUUCAAGGGUACAGGAAGUGGCUUCAAUCUACUCCACUGCAACUUCAGGGAGAUAAGAUUUGAUAUGAUCUACUCAACUGCAACUCUAGAGAGAUAAGAUCUGUGAUUUAUAGCUUCAAUUUGUUCCACUACAAUUUCAGGGAAAUGAAAUUUGCUAUCUUCAGUCUACUCUACUGCAACAUCAGGGAUAUAAGACUUGUGGCUUCAAUCUGCCCCACUGCAAUUUUAGGGGGAUAAGAUUUGUAUCUUCAACCUGCUCCACUACAACUUCAGGGAGAUAAGGCUGGUGGCUUCAAUCUACUCCACUGCAACUUCAGAAAGAUAAGAUCGGCCAUAAUUUGUAGAUUUAAUCUGUUCCACUGCAAUCUUCAGGGAGACAAGAUUCGUUGUCUUCAGUCUACUCCGUUGCAACUUCAGAGAGAUAAGGCAUUUUCCUUAGUUUUAGUAAAAUUAUGAUUUAACCCCUCAUACUUUUUCCACUUAUUCAAUUUGGUCCUAAUUCAGCCAUUUUCCUUAGU